GGAAAUGCAUGUGCUAUCAGCACCACAAAUUCAGGCAGCCCUGUUACAUCAACUUGAUGUAUUCGUGGCAACCCUAACCCCUUCCCCCUGAAGUUACCUGUUGGCUGGGCACUGGAGCUGUCAGGUCAUGAAGGAUAACAACGUUAUGGGACUAAAGGAGAGCAAGGCACCAGGGAAGGAGACUCGCUUCACGCUGUCUACAUUAGGCACAGGGCAGCUCUGGGAAAACAGCACUUCUGCAUCAAGUGUGCGGGAAGACAUCAGCUCUGCAUGCUGAUCUGGAAGCACUUUGGAGAUGUUCACUAAUGGAGAUUAUUGCCCUGAGGGGAAAUGGGAAGUCAAGGAAGCACCUAGUGUAAUUGCUUGCAGUCUCGGAGGAUCCUGCUUGCUGAAGGAAACGGCAUUGGAGCUUUUGAGCCGACUUCAAGUGCAUUCAACAGAGACUUGAGGACCUCACAACUCAGCAGCACCGAGGAACAAAGUGACGCGCAGCAGCCGAGCAGAGCAGGACGCUCCUCUCAUGGCUGCUCUGAACCAGCCAGCAGGGAGCCAGCAUGGGACAGGGACAGGAGCACACAGACAUCAGUUCUUACUUACUUAGCCAUGUUUCCUU
This 613-nucleotide long non-coding RNA is filed under the name Gallus gallus (chicken). Its description in RNAcentral is "lncRNA (ENSGALG00010029847.1)". The record is from RNAcentral. Lineage: Eukaryota; Metazoa; Chordata; Aves; Galliformes; Phasianidae.